This 444-nucleotide ribosomal RNA is filed under the name Serratia nematodiphila. RNAcentral's name for it is "bacterial SSU rRNA". It matches the Rfam family "Bacterial small subunit ribosomal RNA", at positions 349 to 783 of the family's 1533-position model. Lineage: Bacteria; Pseudomonadati; Pseudomonadota; Gammaproteobacteria; Enterobacterales; Yersiniaceae. The record is from RNAcentral.
CAGCAGUGGGGAAUAUUGCACAAUGGGCGCAAGCCUGAUGCAGCCAUGCCGCGUGUGUGAAGAAGGCCUUUCGGGUUGUAAAGCACUUUCAGCGAGGAGGAAGGUGGUGAGCUUAAUACGCUCAUCAAUUGACGUUACUCGCAGAAGAAGCACCGGCUAACUCCGUGCCAGCAGCCGCGGUAAUACGGAGGGUGCAAGCGUUAAUCGGAAUUACUGGGCGUAAAGCGCACGCAGGCGGUUUGUUAAGUCAGAUGUGAAAUCCCCGGGCUCAACCUGGGAACUGCAUUUGAAACUGGCAAGCUAGAGUCUCGUAGAGGGGGGUAGAAUUCCAGGUGUAGCGGUGAAAUGCGUAGAGAUCUGGAGGAAUACCGGUGGCGGAAGGCGGCCCCCUGGACGAAGACUGACGCUCAGGUGCGAAAGCGUGGGGAGCAAACAGGAUUAGAU